This 460-nucleotide ribosomal RNA is filed under the name uncultured bacterium. RNAcentral's name for it is "partial 16S ribosomal RNA". It matches the Rfam family "Bacterial small subunit ribosomal RNA", at positions 338 to 795 of the family's 1533-position model. The record is from RNAcentral.
CCUACGGGUGACAGCAGUGAGGAAUAUUGGUCAAUGGACGAGAGUCUGAACCAGCCAAGUAGCGUGAAGGAUGACUGCCCUAUGGGUUGUAAACUUCUUUUAUAUGGGAAUAAACUGUUCCACGUGUGGGCUUUUGUAUGUACCCUAUGAAUAAGGAUCGGCUAACUCCGUGCCAGCAGCCGCGGUAAUACGGAGGAUCCGAGCGUUAUCCGGAUUUAUUGGGUUUAAAGGGAGCGUAGGUGGAUUGUUAAGUCAGUUGUGAAAGUUUGCGGCUCAACCGUAAAAUUGCAGUUGAAACUGGCAGUCUUGAGUACAGUAGAGGUGGGCGGAAUUCGUGGUGUAGCGGUGAAAUGCUUAGAUAUCACGAAGAACUCCGAUUGCGAAGGCAGCUCACUGGACUGCAACUGACACUGAGGCUCGAAAGUGUGGGUAUCAAACAGGAUUAGAUACCCGUGUAGUC